This 301-nucleotide ribosomal RNA is filed under the name uncultured bacterium. RNAcentral's name for it is "partial 16S ribosomal RNA". It matches the Rfam family "Bacterial small subunit ribosomal RNA", at positions 509 to 807 of the family's 1533-position model. The record is from RNAcentral.
CAGUCGCCGCGGUAACACGAAGGGGGCUAGCGUUGUUCGGAUUUACUGGGCGUAAAGCGCACGUAGGCGGAUCGAUCAGUCAGGGGUGAAAUCCUGGAGCUCAACUCCAGGACUGCCUUUGAUACUGUCGAUCUCGAGUCCGGAAGAGGUGAGUGGAACUCCUAGUGUAGAGGUGGAAUUCGUAGAUAUUAGGAAGAACACCAGUGGCGAAGGCGGCUCACUGGUCCGGUACUGACGCUGAGGUGCGAAAGCGUGGGGAGCAAACAGGAUUAGAUACCCCCGUAGUCCCUGUCUCUUAUAC